This 1397-nucleotide ribosomal RNA is filed under the name Microbacterium testaceum. Its description in RNAcentral is "16S ribosomal RNA". It matches the Rfam family "Bacterial small subunit ribosomal RNA". Lineage: Bacteria; Bacillati; Actinomycetota; Actinomycetes; Micrococcales; Microbacteriaceae. The record is from RNAcentral.
ACACAUGCAAGUCGAGCGGUGAAGCCAAGCUUGCUUGGUGGAUCAGUGGCGAACGGGUGAGUAACACGUGAGCAACCUGCCCUGGACUCUGGGAUAAGCGCUGGAAACGGCGUCUAAUACUGGAUAUGAGCUCUCUAUCGCAUGGUGGGGGUUGGAAAGAUUUUUCGGUCUGGGAUGGGCUCGCGGCCUAUCAGCUUGCUUGGUGAGGUAAUGGCUCACCAAGGCGUCCACGGGUAGCCGGCCUGAAAGGGUGACCGGCCACACUGGGACUGAAACACGGCCGCAAACUCCUACGGGAGGCAGCAGGGGGGAAUAUUGCACAAUGGGCGGAAGCCUGAUGCACCAACGCCGCGUGAGGGAUGACGGCCUUCGGGUUGUAAACCUCUUUUAGCAGGGAAGAAGCGAGAGUGACGGUACCUGCAGAAAAAGCGCCGGCUAACUACGUGCCAGCAGCCGCGGUAAUACGUAGGGCGCAAGCGUUAUCCGGAAUUAUUGGGCGUAAAGAGCUCGUAGGCGGUUUGUCGCGUCUGCUGUGAAAUCCCGAGGCUCAACCUCGGGCCUGCAGUGGGUACGGGCAGACUAUAGUGCGGUAGGGGAGAUUGGAAUUCCUGGUGUAGCGGUGGAAUGCGCAGAUAUCAGGAGGAACACCGAUGGCGAAGGCAGAUCUCUGGGCCGUAACUGACGCUGAGGAUCGAAAUGGUGGGGAGCAAACAGGCUUAGAUACCCUGGUAGUCCACCCCAUAAACGUUGGGAACUAGUUGUGGGGACCAUUCCACGGUUUCCGUGACGCAGCUAACGCAUUAAGUUCCCCGCCUGGGGAGUACGGCCGCAAGGCUAAAACUCAAAGGAAUUGACGGGGACCCGCACAAGCGGCGGAGCAUGCGGAUUAAUUUGAUGCAACGCGAAGAACCUUACCAAGGCUUGACAUAUACGAGAACGGGCCAGAAAUGGUCAACUCUUUGGACACUCGUAAACAGGUGGUGCAUGGUUGUCGUCAGCUCGUGUCGUGAGAUGUUGGGUUAAGUCCCGCAACGAGCGCAACCCUCGUUCUAUGUUGCCAGCACGUAAUGGUGGGAACUCUUGGGAUACUGCCGGGGUCAAAUCGGGGGAAAGUGGGGAUGAGGUCAAAUCAUCAUGCCCCUUAUGUCUUGGGCUUCACGCAUGCUACAAUGGCCGGUACAAAGGGCUGCAAUACCGUGAGGUGGAGCGAAUCCCAAAAAGCCGGUCCCAGUUCGGAUUGAGGUCUGCAACUCGACCUCAUGAAGUCGGAGUCGCUAGUAAUCGCAGAUCAGCAACGCUGCGGUGAAUACGUUCCCGGGUCUUGUACACACCCCCCGUCAAGUCCUGAAAGUCGGUAACACCUGAAGCCGGUGGCCCAACCCUUGUGGAGGGAGCCG